Molecule: ribosomal RNA, 527 nt
Filed under: Apistogrammoides pucallpaensis
Lineage: Eukaryota; Metazoa; Chordata; Actinopteri; Cichliformes; Cichlidae
Description: partial 16S ribosomal RNA
Rfam family: Bacterial large subunit ribosomal RNA
Source: RNAcentral
GUCCCGCCUGCCCUGUGACUACAUGUUUAACGGCCGCGGUAUUCUGACCGUGCUAAGGUAGCGCAAUCACUUGUCCUUUAAAUGAGGACCAGUAUGAAUGGCAUCACGAGGGCUUAACUGUCUCCUUUUUCCUGUCAAUGAAAUUGAUCUCCCCGUGCAGAAGCGGGGAUACCCCCAUAAGACGAGAAGACCCUAUGGAGCUUCAGGCUCACGAACAGACUAUGUUAAACAACCUAACAUACAAGAAUAAACUAAUUACGCCCUGUUCACAUGCCUUUGGUUGGGGCGACCACGGGGAAAUAAAAAACCCCCACGCGGACCGAGAGAAUAUACCCUCUAUACACCCCAGAGCGACAACUCUAAUUUACAGAAUUUCUGACCAAUCACAUGAUCCGGUUCAACCGAUCAACGAACCCAGUUACCCUAGGGAUAACAGCGCAAUCCCCUUCUAGAGCCCAUAUCGACAAGGGGGUUUACGACCUCGAUGUUGGAUCAGGACAUCCUACUGGUGUAGCCGCUAUUAAGGG